This 100-nucleotide non-coding RNA is filed under the name Clostridium ljungdahlii. RNAcentral describes it as "SAM riboswitch aptamer (S box leader)". It matches the Rfam family "SAM riboswitch aptamer (S box leader)". Rfam says of the family: The SAM riboswitch is found upstream of a number of genes which code for proteins involved in methionine or cysteine biosynthesis in Gram-positive bacteria. RNAcentral also lists the same sequence under 1 other name. Lineage: Bacteria; Bacillati; Bacillota; Clostridia; Eubacteriales; Clostridiaceae. The record is from Rfam by way of RNAcentral.
CUCUUAUCAAGAGAGGCGGAGGGAACAAGGCCCUAUGAAACCCGGCAACCAGUGAAAAUCACCAAGGUGCCAAUUCCUGCAGUAUUCUGCAAGAUAAGAG